Molecule: long non-coding RNA, 386 nt
Filed under: Musa acuminata (dwarf banana)
Lineage: Eukaryota; Viridiplantae; Streptophyta; Magnoliopsida; Zingiberales; Musaceae
Description: long non-coding RNA (MACU_LNC006013)
Source: RNAcentral
GCCGGUUGCUGAGCUCCAUCGUCUGCGCCCUCAGCACGGAGUUCUCAGCCUGCGCGGCAGCACAGUGCCGCGUGGUGAGGUUCAACACCGAAAGGACGCGGCUGUUCUCCUUCCUCAGCUGGUUCGCCUGCGCCAUCAGAUCAUCCAGGUGCUUCUGCUUCCGUAACCUCGACCGUCUCGCGGACUCACGGUUCGAUAUCAUUCUCUUCCUCUUCUUCUCGUCCAUCGCCGCUUGCAGGUCUUCUGAUGAACCGGAGCUGUGGAACAUGCUGGAGCCAGAGGAAGCCCCACUGGGAGAAGCCAUUAGAACUUGGUGUUUUUGAAGAGAUCUGUUGGGUUUCCUCUCAAGAAAGACGAUGCAAACACGAAAGAUGCAGUUAUUGAUC